Molecule: unclassified non-coding RNA, 391 nt
Filed under: soil metagenome
Description: partial contains 5.8S ribosomal RNA, internal transcribed spacer 2, and large subunit ribosomal RNA
Rfam family: 5.8S ribosomal RNA (bases 1-122)
Source: RNAcentral
GAUGAAGAACGCAGCGAAAUGCGAUACUUGGUGUGAAUUGCAGAAUCCCGUGAACCAUCGAGUCUUUGAACGCAAGUUGCGCCCGAAGCCACUAGGCCGAGGGCACGCCUGCCUGGGCGUCACACGCCGUUGCCCCCCCAUCUACUCCUUCGGGAUUGCGGGGGGGCGGAUGAUGGCCUCCCGUGCGCCUAGCCGCGCGGUUGGCAUAAAUACCAAGUCCUCGGCGACGCACGCCACGACAAUCGGUGGUUGCGAAACCUCGGUGGCCCGUCGUGUGCGUUCGUCGCGCAUCGAGGGCUCGAAAAAAUGCUCGGCUCCGGCUGGGCUUUCAACGCGACCCCAGGUCAGGCGGGGUUACCCGCUGAAUUUAAGCAUAUCAAUAAGCGGAGGA